Molecule: non-coding RNA, 22 nt
Filed under: Rattus norvegicus (Norway rat)
Lineage: Eukaryota; Metazoa; Chordata; Mammalia; Rodentia; Muridae
Source: RNAcentral
AGCAAGGUGCCACGUGUCAUAC